UAUACUUAGGGACGCUGGGAAUCAGAAAGCAGAUUGUUGUCAGAGAUGGACUUGGAGUACUCCUGAGUGAGACGCCCGCUGCCCAUUUGGAGGCUGCAAAUCUCUGUCUGACUCUGCUCCCUACAGUGUGGAUGGUGAGUCGCGGUAUCCGGCAGGAGGGCUGGUGUGACGUACUUAAGGCUUUUCAGCUCACAGGGAAAUUCAGUGAGACUUCCGGAAGCUUUCUCUGUUGGUUCCAAGUUCCGGCCUCUGCCUUGUAUUGUGAAAAAGAAGAAAUCAGUAGAAGGAGGGUCAGAUUGGAGGGGGUUCUCUGGCCUCUGCUGCAGCCACCGCCCCACAUUCAUCCUAACAACCUUGGGAAGAAAACCAGAAAAAUACAGUUACCAGAAAAGGUAGAAACCAUCUCAGACACAGGGGGAAGAUAGAAUCUCCUAGAGCUCCAUGAGGCGUGAGAACCUUGCUUCUGGGGCAGCAUUGCUGAGGCGGGGCAAUGACCAGACGUUGGACCUUCAUGGAGCGACUCGGUCAAAGGUUGAACCUUUUGAGAGGAGCUUUAACUGAUAAUUCUGACUGGCUGAAAAGCACUGCCCUAAGGCAUUUCUGGAGUUAAUGGACUGCGUAUUCCCCAUUUUCCAGCAACAAUAUGGCAUGUGUGGAGUUAAUGGAAUGCUAAUUGCCCUUUUUCCAAGGAUCGUACCGGCAUGUGUGGAGUUAAUGGAA
Long non-coding RNA from Xenopus tropicalis (tropical clawed frog), 720 nucleotides. RefSeq lists it as uncharacterized. The record is from RefSeq and is a predicted model, not a curated record. NCBI's taxonomy places the organism in Eukaryota, Metazoa, Chordata, Amphibia, Anura, Pipidae. The transcript is spliced from 6 exons.